GGGGGUGUAGCUCAGAGGUAGAGCGCUCGCUUUGCAUGCGAGAAGUCCCGGGUUCGAACCCCGGCAUCUCCA
RNAcentral lists this transfer RNA (72 nucleotides) under Dermacentor andersoni. RNAcentral's name for it is "transfer RNA alanine (anticodon UGC)". It matches the Rfam family "tRNA". Rfam says of the family: Transfer RNA (tRNA) molecules are approximately 80 nucleotides in length. Their secondary structure includes four short double-helical elements and three loops (D, anti-codon, and T loops). The record is from RNAcentral. Lineage: Eukaryota; Metazoa; Arthropoda; Arachnida; Ixodida; Ixodidae.